Molecule: non-coding RNA, 72 nt
Organism: Candidatus Gottesmanbacteria bacterium
Lineage: Bacteria; Candidatus Gottesmaniibacteriota
Source: Rfam
GGGCUGCUAGUUCAUUGGUAGAACGCUUUCCUGAUAAGAAAGAGGUACUAGGUUCGAUUCCUAGGCAGCCCA